GGCUAUUGAUCCUCAGGGACGUGCAUUGCAAUGGUCUCUGUGAGGGGAAAGCCUCCUUUUGUGUUCUUGAGAUGGCUAAAGUCAGCUGAAUGAGCUAUUUCUGAGACAGAAACUGUGGCCUUUCACCAUGUGAUUCACUUCCUCUGCUAUUUUGACGGAGCUUGUUGACUUUUAUAACCUCAUUUGCAAAGGCAGACAGCAACCAAAACUUUCAGUUGACCUCAGCAAAAGCUACGAAGUGUUCAGCUUUUCCAGAAACUCAGAUUGCUUUUUCAGCUCAAAUUGCUGGAAAAUACAAGUUAGUCUGCAGAAGGGCCUAACAGAGGGAAGACAAAGUAUAAAAUCAGCACAAAGAGGACUGGGAGCAGAAGGUUCCUUAGUGAGGGUUAUAUUGUCAUGGAGAGAUGUUGAAUGUGUAGAUGAGGGAAGGAAGCUGAACAUCCGGCCAGGGCUGUUGAGGAAGACAAGGCAGGGCAGAUGAAAGGCUGCCUAAACAUCUGCUGUCAUGCAACUGCACUGGUACCCUUCAAAGUUAAGCCACCACAAAGAAUUUUAUUCCAUCCACCAUGGGAAAGAAGUCACUCUACAGCCUGGAACAGGAGCUGUUCACCAGCCAUCUCCUCAUACACCCAAACGCAGGGAUGUACAGCAAAAUGUGCCACCCCAUCACUUUGUGUAAAGCAGCACCUCUGCUUAAGAGCCGUGCUAAUCACAUUACUUAAUGAGUUCACAAAUAAUCACUUUGUGCUUAUAAUCUGAAGAUAGAAGUUUUGGCAGCUGAGACAGGGAAAUUAAAAAAAAAUCUUUAAAAUAAACCAAGACCUGUUAAAUCCUCUGUAUCUCUU
This 845-nucleotide long non-coding RNA is filed under the name Numida meleagris (helmeted guineafowl). Its description in RNAcentral is "lncRNA (ENSNMEG00000017774.1)". The record is from RNAcentral. Lineage: Eukaryota; Metazoa; Chordata; Aves; Galliformes; Numididae.